RNAcentral lists this ribosomal RNA (440 nucleotides) under uncultured bacterium. RNAcentral describes it as "partial 16S ribosomal RNA". It matches the Rfam family "Bacterial small subunit ribosomal RNA", at positions 338 to 795 of the family's 1533-position model. The record is from RNAcentral.
CCUACGGGUGGCAGCAGUAGGGAAUAUUGGUCAAUGGGGGAAACCCUGAAGCAGCAACGCCGCGUGGAGGAUGAAGGUUCUCGGAUUGUAAACUUCUUUUGGUAGGGAAGAUAAUGCCGGUAUCCAUCGAUUAAGCACCGGCUAACUCCGUGCCAGAAGCCGCGGUAAUACGCAGGGUGCAAGCGUUAUACGGAAUCACUGGGCGUAAAGAGGGCGUAGGCGGGAUAGUAAGUCAGAUGUGAAAUCCCAUGGCUGAACCAUAGAACUGCAUUUGAAACUGUUAUUCUAGAGUAUAGGAGAGGUAGGUGGAAUUCUUGGUGUAGGGGUAAAAUGCGUAGAGAUCAAGAGGAAUACCCAUUGCGAAGGCGACCUGCUAGAACAUAACUGACGCUGAGGCGCGAAAGCGUGGGGAGCAAACAGGAUUAGAUACCCGAGUAGUC